RNAcentral lists this ribosomal RNA (197 nucleotides) under uncultured bacterium. Its description in RNAcentral is "partial 16S ribosomal RNA". It matches the Rfam family "Bacterial small subunit ribosomal RNA", at positions 328 to 539 of the family's 1533-position model. The record is from RNAcentral.
ACGCUCGACACCUACGCGAGGCAGCAGUGGGGGAUAUUGCACAAUGGGGGAAACCCUGAUGCAGCGACGCCGCGUGAAGGAAGAAGGCCUUCGGUUGUAAACUUCUGUCGUACGGGACGAUAGUGACGGUACCGUACAAGAAAGCCACGGCUAACUACGUGCCAGCAGCCGCGGUAAUCUGAGCGGGCUGGCAAGGC